This 475-nucleotide ribosomal RNA is filed under the name uncultured bacterium. Its description in RNAcentral is "SSU rRNA". It matches the Rfam family "Bacterial small subunit ribosomal RNA", at positions 26 to 518 of the family's 1533-position model. The record is from RNAcentral.
AGGACGAACGCUGGCGGCGUGCUUAACACACGCAAGUCGAGCGGAAAGGCCCUUCGGGGUACUCGAGCGGCGAACGGGUGAGUAACACGUGAGCAAUCUGCCCUUAGCUUCGGGAUAGCCCCGGGAAACCGGGAUUAAUACCGAAUACGACCUCGGCCGACAUCGGCUUUGGUGGAAAGUUUUUCGGCUGGGGAUGGACUCGCGGCCUAUCAGCUUGUUGGUGGGGUAAUGGCCUACCAAGGCGACGACGGGUAGCCGGCCUGAGAGGGCGACCGGCCACGACUGGGACUGAGACACGGCCCAGACUCCUACGGGAGGCAGCAGUGGGGAAUCUUGCGCAAUGGGCGAAAGCCUGACGCAGCGACGCCGCGUGGGGGAUGAAGGCCUUCGGGUUGUAAACCCCUUUCAGCAGGGACGAAGCGAAAGUGACGGUACCUGCAGAAGAAGCGCCGGCUAACUACGUGCCAGCAGCCGC